GGACUAUAUUAGUAAUUCUGUAUAUGCAAAUAAACAAAGAGCCAAGGAGGGAUAUAGAUGUAUUUUGUCCUUAAUUUAUCUAUUCAUGAACGUGGUUAGAAACUGUACGAUAAAAGAAAAAAAAGGAAACCAAGCCUUACAAAGAGACUGAUGCCUUAUCCCCUGACAUGCAGCUAAGAAGCAGAUCUUACUUGGCUUCAGACUUCGAGCACAAAUGAACCCAAAUGGAUUCAACUUUACUGAACUAUGUAUCGUUUAUUUUGUUACUGAAAUAAGAAUAUCAGGCAACUGGAAAUCAAUGAAUUGAUUUAAAUGUUUUCAGUUGAAAAUAUAAAAUCUUCUUAAAAUAUAUAUUUCUUCUGUUGGUUGACUUGGCUUUGUGUUGCAAACUAUGGUUCAUCUGUUCUUCCAGUUGCACUAGUACCGCCAGGCUAAACAUUCUUC
RNAcentral lists this long non-coding RNA (444 nucleotides) under Homo sapiens (human). Its description in RNAcentral is "HSALNT0074541". The record is from RNAcentral. Lineage: Eukaryota; Metazoa; Chordata; Mammalia; Primates; Hominidae.